This is a non-coding RNA of Podarcis lilfordi (Lilford's wall lizard), 69 nucleotides long. The record is from the annotation of a GenBank genome assembly. NCBI's taxonomy places the organism in Eukaryota, Metazoa, Chordata, Lepidosauria, Squamata, Lacertidae.
GCUUAGCUCAGCCGAUACAGUGUGAGACUCUUAAUCUCAGGGUCAUGGAUUCGAGUCCCACAUUGGGCA